Molecule: ribosomal RNA, 438 nt
Filed under: Neisseria sicca
Lineage: Bacteria; Pseudomonadati; Pseudomonadota; Betaproteobacteria; Neisseriales; Neisseriaceae
Description: bacterial SSU rRNA
Rfam family: Bacterial small subunit ribosomal RNA
Source: RNAcentral
AUUGAACGCUGGCGGCAUGCUUUACACAUGCAAGUCGGACGGCAGCACAGAGAAGCUUGCUUCUUGGGUGGCGAGUGGCGAACGGGUGAGUAACAUAUCGGAACGUACCGAGCAGUGGGGGAUAACUAAUCAAAAGAUUAGCUAAUACCGCAUAUCUUCUGAGGAAGAAAGCAGGGGACCAUUUGGCCUUGCGCUGUUUGAGCGGCCGAUAUCUGAUUAGCUAGUUGGUGGGGUAAAGGCCUACCAAGGCGACGAUCAGUAGCGGGUCUGAGAGGAUGAUCCGCCACACUGGGACUGAGACACGGCCCAGACUCCUACGGGAGGCAGCAGUGGGGAAUUUUGGACAAUGGGCGCAAGCCUGAUCCAGCCAUGCCGCGUGUCUGAAGAAGGCCUUCGGGUUGUAAAGGACUUUUGUCAGGGAAGAAAAGGGCGGGGUUA